AUCCCUUCGCCUUUGCGGGCUGCUGGCUGCGCGGCUUGGCCGGUCCGGCGACCCUACCGCGGUCCGGGGCUGCAGGGGGCGCCACGUGGUGCGCACGUGGUCCGGUCCCGGCGCGGCGGCCUCCCCUCCCCCAUGGCGCCGGCGGCCCCGGCGCCCCCUAGCGGUGGCCAGGUGCUCUGCGCUGCACGUCGCGCCUGCGCACAACGCGUCACGAUGCGCCUUCCGGUCUGCGCGGGAGCCGGGCGUGGAUCCGUUGCGUCCUCGUGAUGGCUGCGGGUCUGCGGCGCCCCGGGUCCCGAGGGGGCGGGGCGGGACGAGCCGCCGGGGGCGCACGUGCGGGGCUGGCGGAGGCUCGGGGCCGUGCCCCGUGCAAGUGGGGCCCGCGGCCGGACGUGUACGGCGGCCGGGCUGUGAAGCGCGUUGGGGGCAUCCGCGCGGGCCGGAGUGGGUGCAGGCCGGCUGCCGCCUCCCCAGCCUGAGUUUAAGUUCCCGGAGGGCCGACACCGCUGGUUUCCUGUCGGCGCGCUGUAAAAUGCUUAGUAAAAUAAGUGAACGGAGGGUGAAUUAAUUAUUAGGAUAUUCAGGAAGUGUUGUUUUGGGUGUUUUAUUCUAUCACCUAUGCUAUCGGUUUUAUUUAUGGGAUCCUACGUGAGAAACACCGUUGGGCCCAUAGUAAGCAAGGAGUCUGUGGUAGUUACUGUUAACGGCUGUUGCCUUUUUUUUUUUUUUUUUUUUGUCCUUUGACUUUAUUCCGUUAAGUGUAAAAAGAUUUGAGCAGGGCCUUAUAGAGAUUGAAAAGCAAACAAACUUUCCCCUUUUUUUCUGCCAUUUUAUCUUAAAGGCUCACAGUUGCAUUGCCACUGCUGGUUGCUCUGCCAAAUUAGUGUUUCUCAGAAGUUUACCCACUUCCGUAUUUUUAAAAUACCUAGUACGUACCAGACGUUGCCACAGGUCCUAAGGAAGAUGGGCCACACCUAGGACAGACUCUCCCGCUGGCCUCUCAGGAGCAAACAGCCCCAGAGAGGGAUGCUUGGCAGGGCACCAUGGAGCUUCUUGGACCUGAGGGCAGCAAGCAGCCCAGAAGAAGCUGGGCCAGCACCUCAAUCGUGGCCACGUGGGACCCUUAGCAGAGGACCAGCUGAGCCGUAUACCCAGACUCCUGCCACACGGACACCGAGGUUGGAAAUGUGUGGGCGGUGGCAGAGGAUGAGCCGUGUGCAGCCUGGGACGAUGCAACCAUCGGGCUUCCGGCGUCAUCAUCAACCGAGGAAGCUGGAGCCCUGGGUCAAGCCACACCGAACUUCCAUCUGCACCCAGAUCCCAGUGGCUUCUGUGAGCUUGGAUGAGACUCAAGUCUGCGUGGCCAUCUUCUCGGCUGUAAAACCAGGACAGCAGUCUCUAAUCCCCUCACGAGGGUGGGAAAGACCCUGAGAAGCCUGGGCUGCGGGCCCACCUCUGCAAGCCGAGGGCACCUCGCCGGUCCUGUUGGAACCUCAGUCUCCAGGCCGUACAGUGGAACUGAUGACACCUCCCUCUGCGUUGGCCUCUGCAAGCAAAUCAGAUUUUUUUAAAAAAACAACAGCAGCUUUGAAAAUGCUCAGAUGAACUUAGACUCCACGAGAUGCAAUCAGCAAAAGUGGGAAACAGACUCUGGGAAACUUUAAUGAACAAGUGACCCCGUUUUUAAAAAUAAAUCGAAAGGGGGAAAAAAGGAGGUGGAGGGAAAACAUGGACUAAAAGAGAUUAAGAGAAUCCUCACUCGUUGUUGGGAACAUCAAAUUCUGCAGUCACUUGGGAAAACGGUCUGGUGUAAUUUCUUUAAAAGUUAAGUAUACAUUCGGCGUGUAACCCAGCAAUUCCACCCCUAUAAAUCUACUGGAGAGAAAUGGAAACACAUGUCAACAAGUAGUGCAUAAAAGUUUAUAGCAGAAGUUUUACUAAAACCCAAACUGGAAACAACAUGUGUGUGUCUCAACUUGUGGACUGAUUUCUUUUUUUAAACGGUGGUAUAUUCAUACAAUAAAGCAUUGCCAGCAAUAACAGGGAUGAACUGCUGAUCUGUGCAACAUGGAUGAACCCCAAAACCUUGCGCUUUAUGAGAGAAGCCAGACACAAAAGACCACAUAGUGUGUGAUUCUGUGUAUGGGAAAUUGGUAGAAAAGGAAAAGCCAUAGAGAAAAAAGCAUAUCCGUGUUUGCCUGAGGCUGAAGGUCCGAGUGAGGAUUGACUGCAAAUGGGCCUGAGGGAACUUUUUGGGUGACAGAAACAUUCUGAAACUGGAUUGCGGUGAUUAUUGAACAACUGUACAAUCCUCCAAAAAUUUGUCAAACUGUACGUUACAGCGCGUGAAUUUUGUGGUAUGUAAAUUAUACCUCAAUUGAGGUAAAUUAUCCCUCGAUAAGGUUAUUAAAAGAUGAAAAUCAAAACACUGGCCCAAAAUUGUAUACUAUUAAGGCAGGAUUAGGAUUCUUUCAUGGAUUAUAAUAUUGAGGUGAUUUUUUUUUUAAAACCAACUCUUAUCUUUUAGGGAUACACACUGAAUUAUAGGAAAUGAUAUAAUGCCUAAGAUGGGCUUCAAAAUACUACGAGAGGAUUUGGGCGGCUUAUAGAUGAAACAAGGCUGUGUAUACGGAUCCCUGCUGGAGCUGGGUUUUGGGUACAUGGAGGUCUUUGAAAUCGGUGUGUAGUGUGUUUUCAUGGACAGUGCAUCUCACUUUGGCUGAGUCGCGUUUCCAGUGCUCAAGAGCUAUAAAUUAUACAGCGGCUAUAAAUGAUCCCUCUGGGGUUUCUGCGUGUGUUCUGGAUCAUGAAGCCUUAGAAGGGCCAUCACUUCUGCCCAGCUGCAUCCCCAGGAUUGUAGCAAAGGCUCCCGCCGAGGGCACAACCCCAGUGGUUCAUCAGUCAGGGGCUGGUUUUGUCUGCAGUGGGGACCCUCCACUGGGAUGACCCCACUGACUGCGCACUCGGAGGGCCUGACUUCAGGCCGCUGAUUUAAAAACCUGGCGUGACCUGUUCACCGGGUACAAAGGUGAUUUAUGCAGCCCAUCGGAUGUCUCUCCAGAAGAACGGGCCCCUGAGCGCUUAGAGAAUUUGUUUGUGGUGGAAGUAACAGCACAAAAACCUUCGCAGAGAAGCAGAAACAGAGCUGCUGAAUUACUGCUUGGAAUGACCUCUGUUUCCAUUCCUGCACGCACGGAGCUUACAUUGGUCCAUAACACACCACAGCCACGCAAGAAAAAAGCUAAAUGAGCUGAAGAAUCAAAACUUGUCUUAGAUCUGCCAGAGCAGUGAGGUCACAGGGCAAACCGCCGCCCUAGGUUGUUGGGACAGACAGACGAAUGCAGAGUCACGAUGCACGAAGCUGGAGAACAGGAGACGGUGGGGGGACCCAGGGCUGGGUGGACAGAUCACACACUCCUGGGGGCCCUGACGCUGCCGUGAGUUUUACCACCCGAAGCCCUGCCAGGUUUUCACAGUAAAGAUCAGGAAGAAGAAAAUCCCCUUGAGCUUUCUUCCAUCAGGAGAGGAGAACAGGCAUCGUGCGUUCUUUCUAUUCUCUGUAAGGCUUGCCUGGCUGAGCAGCUUCUGGGGGCUUCUGCGGAGCUGGCCCUCGGGCUAAGAGUCUUGCUUUCCUUAUUUCCAAGUCUAUUUUUACAAAACACUCUGCAUUUGUUGAGGUCACAGGAGUGACUCUCUCAGUGUCCCCCAACAGCCCUAAGCCCAUUUCACAGCAGAGGAAACUGAGGCCCAGAGGCCAACUAACUUGUUUGAGGGCUCAGAGCUGGUUAACAGUGGGGCUGGUGCCCCUCCCCCAGCACCUUCAUUCCACUUUGUCUUGACGUGGCGAAUCCCCCAGGCUCAGGCGAACUUCUGGAAGACGCAGCCCUGCCAGCAUCUCACAAGAGACCCCAAGCCAGGACCACCCCGCUGGGUCACCCCCAAAUUCCUGACGCGCAGACACUGUGAGAUGGUACACGUUGAUUGGUUUCAGCUGCUACGUUUUGGAACCGUUUGCUGUUACACAGCCACGGAUGAGUAACACACAACAUCUUUUUUUCCCUGAGCGCCAACACCCGAGUGUUCUGUCAAGAGUAGUUUUCAACCCGGCUUUGUUUGAACAAGUUUCCUGUGGUGUCGAAGUCAGACAUGUCUUUUCCUGAAUUAGCGUUUAAGAAAUAUGAUCGGUUCUAAAUGACAGGGUGGCCAGGGGCGGCUGUAAAAGAAAAACAAGCCAGCCUGUUCCAAGUGAGCUGAGGACACAGGGGCCAUCUCUCUCAGGUUUUGGGGGCCUCAAAUGGGUGAGGAAGUUUCUUGGAGGAUUAUUCUGUCUGUCUGUCUCUAUCUUCUGUAGCGAUACAAAAAUGCAGUCCUUCCCAGUAGUGGUCAGAGGCCCGUCACUGUGUGAUGUAACGCCCCAGGGACUCAGUGAACACACAGGAAGCAGCAUUGGGGAUGCAGGGAGGAUCCGAGAAGGAUACAGAAGCAGCAGGAAGUGACAUUCAGCAGACAGGAAAAGGAAGGGGACGCUGAAAACACAGAGAAUGGUCUGGGCUCCUCAGUCAUUUGCCAGAUGCACGUCGAGCUUCAGGCCCUCGAAGCUGUGAGUGUGGACCCGCCGCUUUCAGAUGCUGAGGCUUCUCAGCCCAUCUGCCCACCUUCAGACCCAGCCAGGACUAGGUGGAGGGGUUUCCACCGGGCCCCUGUCUUGUGAUGGGGAACAGGCCAAGCGAGGACCCCUUCGGCUCAAGGCAGGAGGGUGACCCCAUCGGCGCUUUUUGCGGAGGUCUUGUGGUACAGCUCUGCCCGGAGCACGUUGGUGUGAUUCCCUGACUUUGGAGGAUGAAGGGAGGAGAGGGCAGAGGCAGCUCAGCCACACCCCGCCCCCAGAGCAGCACGGUCCAGAACUUUCUGCAGUUAUGGGAACUUUCUUCAUCUGCACUGUUCAGUACAGCAGCCAUUAGCCACGUGGGUCUCCAGAUCCAGCUCUUGAAAUGUGGCUCGUGCCACGUUUCACAAGGAAGGGUUUCAUUUUAUUUCAUUUUCAUUAGAGUAUAAGUGUAGAUAGCCAGAUGUGACUAGCGGCUUCUGAAUUGGACGACAUGGCUCUUAAUCCUUGUUUUGGGUCUAUAAUCACAAACUCUCUCUCUCUAUAUAUAUUUUUUUUUUUUUAAAUUAAAUGUACAUAGAGUAAAAGGUACAUGGAGUAAAAUUCACUUUUUUUGUGCACAGUUCUGCUACUUUCGACAAAUACACGGAGUCAUGUAAUCACCACCACAAUCAUCACCUCCCACCCGGGAUUCCCACGUGUCAUUUUGUAGGUAGCCUCUCCCCAGACCUCCAGCCCCUGGAAUCACUCAUCUGUUUCUGUCUCUAUAGUUUUGCUUUUUCCCGAGUGUCCUACAAAUGAAAGCAUACAGGAUGCACUUGGGGUCCUCCGUGUUGUUCUAUGUACGCGUCCUUCGCUCCUUUUUAGUGCAGCAUUAUAUUCCGUCGUACGGUUGUACCUAAGUUUGUUUUCCACUCCCCAAGUGAGGUGCAUUUGGAUUGUCGGGUUGUCAAGUUUGGGGUCUUUAGGAAAAAAGCCACUACAGAUAAUCAUGUACAAGUUUUUGUGUCCACACAAGUUUUCAUUUCAAUUGGAUAAAUAGCUAGUGAUGGGAUUGCAGGUCAUUCAGAAAGGUAGUUGAACUGUAUAAGAAACUGCCAGACUUUUCCAAAGUGGCAGUACCGUCUUGAAUUCUGCGAGCCAUGUGGGAGAACUCCAGACCUUAUCAUUUUUAGCAGAUAUCCCAGCGUGGUUUUUAACCUGCUCCCUAACAAUGAAUGAUGUUGAGCAUUUUUUCCUGGGCUUGUUUUUCACACCUAUAUCUUUAGUGAAGGAUCUGUUCAUGUGUUUUUAUUUUUUUUAAGACUUUAUUUUAAUUAUCUGUUUUUGUUUUUGUUUUUUGGCUGUGUUGGGUCUUUGUUGCUGCACACGGGCUUUCUCUAGUUGCGGCGAGCGGGGGCUACUCUUCGUUGUGGUGCGCGGGCUUCUCAUUGCGGUUGCUUCUCUUGCUGCGGAGCACGGGCUGUAGGCGCGCAGGCUUCAGUAGUUGUGGCUCGAGGGCUCUAGAGCGCAGGCUCAGUAGUUGUGGUGCACAGGUUUAGUUGCUCCGCGGCAUAUGGGAUCUUCCUGCACCAGGGCUCGAACCCGUGUCCCCUGCAUUGGCAGGCGGAUUCCUAACCACUGUGCAACCAGGGAAGUCCCACGUGUAUUUGUUUUUAAUGGAUUGUUUCUCCAGAUAUUUCAUGGCCUCUUUUUAACAUGGCCUUCAUCGUCACCCCCCAAUACAGUGUGUUUUUCUUGUAAACGGUUUAGUGUCUUGUAGUUAAUUCUGUUCCUUUUUGUUCCUGCGACCAGCUCCAGAGGCUUCCAUCAGGGUAAGAGCCUGGGUGUCGUGGGCUCCCAGCAGUUAACUGGGUUCUCCCUUGCAAAUUUUUUCUUUUUCCUUUUUUGAGCGAAUGCAUCGUGAAGCAGCUUAAGCAGGCCCUCUAGACCCGGAGAGAGUGUGAGAAGAAUUCACUUUCUCCGAUUCUGGUUCUAUAAUGGCUUUUUAUUGCUCCUUUUCUGGCCCUCUCUGUUGAAGCUGUCAGUGUAUCGAAGGCUUGCUGUUUAAGAGGAAAGGAAUUGCAAGGUUCAGUGGGCAUCUAGGAUUGCAGGGUCAUCGUGAGUCAGCCCUGGGAGCUCCUGCCAUUGUCACAUACAGGUUCUUGCUGGUCAGGAAAAGAACUGUCCAGGUCUGUCAGUCUGCACAGAAGUCUUCACAUUUAAUAUCGUCAAGCCUGAGGGCCGUGGAAGCACAUAUAUCCCUCUUGUUCUCAAACAGACCUGUCAUUAACAAGAGGGAAGUCACCCCAGAUGAACCAGAGGAAAGAACUUUGAAGGUUUUAUGUAAAUCUCUCUCUUUAAAGAAAAAAUUGUGGUAAAAGACAUGUAACACAAAAUUUACGAUCUUAACUACAGUUCGGUAGUGUCAAGUACAUUCACAUUGUUGUGCAGCCAUCACCACCGUCAUCUCCAAAACUUUUUCAUCUUGCAAAACGGAAGCUCUGUCCCCAUUAAACACUCACUCCCCAUUCAUUCCCGUCUCUCUGGGAAGUAACCACCCUUCUACUUUUUGUCUCUAUGAACUUGACUCCCCUAGGGACCCCACAUAAGCGGAAUCAUACAGGAUCUCUCUUUUCGUGACCAGUUGAUUUCACUUAGCCCCUUGUCUUGUCUCCAGGGUUCAUCUACGUUGUAGCAGGUGUCAGAAUUUCCUUUGUUUUUAAGGCUGAAUAAUGUCCCAUCGGACAUGUCAGUGGACCCUUGGCUUGUUAACAUCUUUUGGAUAUUGUGAAUAACGCUGCUAUGAACGUGAGCGUACAAAUGUCAUUUCAAGACCCUGCUUUCGGGACUUCUCUGGUGGCGCAGUGGUUAGGAAUUUGCCUGCCAGUGCGGGGGACACGGGUUCGAGCCCUGGUCUGGGAAGAUCCCACAUGCCGCGGAGCAACUAAGCCCGUGCACCACAACUACUGAGCCUGCACUCUAGAGCCCGCGAGCCACAACUACUGAGCCCGCCUGCUGCAACUACUGAAGCCUGCGCGCCUAGAGCCCGUGCUCCGCAACAAGAGAAGCCACCGCAAUGAGAAGCCUAUGCAUGGAAACGA
Balaenoptera acutorostrata (minke whale) is the source of this 7689-nucleotide long non-coding RNA. RefSeq lists it as uncharacterized. The record is from RefSeq and is a predicted model, not a curated record. NCBI's taxonomy places the organism in Eukaryota, Metazoa, Chordata, Mammalia, Artiodactyla, Balaenopteridae. The transcript is spliced from 6 exons.